This 630-nucleotide long non-coding RNA is filed under the name Callithrix jacchus (white-tufted-ear marmoset). RNAcentral's name for it is "lncRNA (ENSCJAG00000077279.1)". The record is from RNAcentral. Lineage: Eukaryota; Metazoa; Chordata; Mammalia; Primates; Cebidae.
AUGUCUGUCUCCUCCACUAGACUGUAGUUCCCUGAUACACACUCUUCUUGCUCAUGUCGCUAGCAUCAGCACCAAGGACAGUUCCAGGCACAUCCCUCACUCCACACUCAUUUAAUGAAUCAAUGUGAAUAAACCUGUUAUACGUUAUGUCAUUGAUAUAAAUGCAUAAAUUGUCUAUAUUUAUUUUUUCACAGAGCAUGGAUGUGGUCAUUUUUAAAUAAAUCAUAUAACUCUUUUAUGAAGUGCCACAUUAAAAAUCGCUUUUCAGAAAUGCUUAGCAAUGUGGGACCCCAGCUGAUUUCACACUGAAGUUAUUGUUGCCUAGGAGAGGACACAAUGAUGAGGACUUCCAGCACUACGUUGAAUAGCAGUGUUAAGACUGGGCAUCCUUGCCUUGUUCUGGACCUUGGCAGAAAAGCUUUAGUUUUCUUCACUGAUUAUGAUGCUAGAGCUCCAAAUUUACCAUGCCAUCAGGAGCUGAAUAUUUUGUUAUUUGAGAGACAUGAAAUACACUGAGAAGCAAAAGGACUUUCCCAAAGUCACAGCUAGUAAAUGGAAGAACGGUGACCAGGUACUCAGUUGGUCAAACCAAUUAUAAAACACAAAUAAUCAAUAGCAAUUACUAAGACC